AGGACUUGCUGUGCCAACGAAAAGGAAGCGAGGCAUUUUGGCUAGUCACCGCGUUUUUGCUGCGUCACAGGGAGACAGAAGAUGGGCUGCUAUUUCGUCGGCUAAAUGCUAUCAUUUUAAGCACCGUUCCAAAGAAAACAGGGAUCUUGCCAGAGGAAAAUAACAUAUACCAUAAAGGAAAAAGAAAUGUGCAUCAAGGCAAAUAAACAGCUCUCUACUAAGGGCCUAGGAUCUUGCUAGACGAGUCAUUUCUCUGGUUGAAAAGCAGUUGAGAAAGGCAAGACAAGGGGGGCGGGGGCCCAGCAGGGCACCUCUGAGCCCUUCCUGCUGCUCUUCAAAGACAGACGCAUUUUCCUUUCUACGGUCUCCUUGCAAGUCUUCUGUAGGCCCUGCCACCUUCAGGCUGACUGACUGCCUCCUUCAAAUAUCAGCAUUUGGAAGGGUACUGGGGAGUCGACACCCUCAUGUCUGUGAGCUGACUGCAGGACGUCUCCUGUCCAGGUGCUGGCACCUCAUCUAACAUUUGAAGGCUCAGAAGAAAAGCCACGUCUGCCUACACAAUCUCACAAUCCGGCUUCAGCAAAGCAUGAGUUAAUUCAACUUCAUACUCGUGAACGUGAAGCGGGGGUUGGAAGGAAUGAAGGCUGCAGGACACCCAUGUACCAAGAAAAAGAAAGACAAAUUGGUUGUUUUAUCUACUUUACAUCAUGAUGGAGUCCUAAAAAGGGCCCCAUGAAGGCAGGCAGCCCAGGGAGGAAUGACUGGACGGUGACAUUGUGCAGGGGGUCUGGAAGUUGCCAGCGCAGGGGUUAGCAGCUGCAGCCUGGCCUGGUCCUGUCUGCCUGGCUGUCAAACCCAGAAGACCGUGGUUUCUGGUGGCCUCUGUGUGACAGCGGAGGAGGUGGGGCGAGGCCUGGAAGUGAAGCAUCUCGUGAGCCACUUAAGUGUUUAUGAAGCUCGCUAAUGUGCUUAAAUGAACGAGAAGCAGGUACUUGCUCCCAGGACCAGAGCCACCAAAGCAAUUUCCUCUGCAGCCCCUCAUACUUCGCACACUGGAAGCUUGCAUUCUUUCCCAGAGGACAGCCGGAUUACAGCACCGCCUCUAAUGCAACCCGAUCUGGUUUCUUUGAGCGCCGCGGUGAACGUGCAAUCUAUCUCAUAAAUGCAUCGCAGUGUUCCACAAAUCACCCACGUUCAUCCCUUGAGACGUCUUUAACUCGGGGCUUAGAGUUGCAAAUGAAUUCUCCUAUGGAUCUAUUAUUCCAUCAAAUAGCGGAGAGAGGGGACUAGCUUGUGCAGAGCCUUCAUAGAGCUGGGCUAAAUUCGAUUAUGCAAAGUCUAACGAGCACCAUUCAGCAAAACCAUGGUGGGUGUGAGCUGCAGGCCAGCCCCUCCACUGGGCCAUUAUCCAGGGGUAAACACCACUCGUGGGUUAGUUCCACGAGUUACUGGCUGAUUUGACCUGUGAUACUCCAAGGUGGAAGUAACCAAAUAAUAUGUAUCAUGAGCCCCAAGAACGAAGCCAGUGGAGAGUGGUACAUGCUAGAGGGUAACGCCUGGCCCUUUGCAGGACAGCACGUCAGCCAUGCGCCAUGGGACGAUGGUGGUGGCUGGGACACAGGAGGCCACGGCAGGAAAUGGGCAGGUGGGUGGGUCUAUGUAAGCUGGCUUUAGACUUCAAUCCACAAGCAUUUGCAGCUCAACUACUCAGCGUCUUAUCUUAUUUAAUCCUUUCAGCAAUAAACACUCUUUUCACAUGUAGUAAGGUUAAGGAGUCUACAUCACACCCUUUAUCAUUAUUAAUAAAGGGACACACCCUCCAGGGAUCCUAGGGAACCUCCUACCCACCCUGUGGUCACUCUAGGGAAAGGAAAGCUCUCAGGGACCGACGGGAGCCUGGGCACAUGCGCCACCACUCUCUCCUUUAUCCCCUCUAGCCCGGCUUGCUGGCUCUCACUUUCUUUUGUGCACUAGAACUCACGUACAAGUUGCACACCCAAACCCUUGCAUGCUGCAUUUCAGAGUCAACUUCAGUGAUUUUUGAGAGUGAUUUUGACAAUCCCAGUCAAAAUUCUAGCAGGUUUUUUUUUUUUACAUGACAAGUGGAUUCUAAAAUUCAUAGGAAAAUGCAAAUGACCUAGAAGAGCCAAAGCAAUUUUGGAAGGAGUAAAGUCGAAUGGCUGACGCUACCAGAUUUCAAGAUUCACUUGAAACGCACAGGAAUCAAGACAGGGUGGUGUCGACAGAAGGAAGGCGUCAGAGCAGGGUGACAGGAGGCAGGGCCACACACAGACGGCUGAUUGAUACCCGACAAAACCGCCGAGGUAAUUUCACAGGGAAAGGAACUCUUUUGAACAAAUGGUGCACCAACAAUUGGAUAACCAUACGGAAAAAAUUUAAAAAACAGAAGAACAUUGACCCUUCACGCACAUCAAACAUAAAUUAACUCAGAAUCCAUCAUAGGCUGGGUGUUGUGGCUCAUGCCUUUAAUCCUAGCACUUUGGGAGGCCAAGGCAGGCGGAUCACCUGAGGUCAGGAGUUUGAGACCAGCCUGGCCAACAUGGUAAAACCCCAUCUCUACUGAAAAUACAAAAAUUAGCCAGGCGUGGUGGCACGUGCCUGUAAUCCCAGGUACCCGGGAGGCUGAGGCAGGAGAAUUGCUGGAACCCGGGAGGCAGAGGCUGCAGUGAUCCGAGAUCACACCAUUGCACUCUAGCCUGGGCAACAGAGCAA
Molecule: long non-coding RNA, 2733 nt
Filed under: Homo sapiens (human)
Lineage: Eukaryota; Metazoa; Chordata; Mammalia; Primates; Hominidae
Description: novel transcript
Source: RNAcentral